UAUCAGAAGUGCGAAUGCUGACAUGAGUAACGUUAAAGCGGGUGAAAAGCCCGCUCGCCGUAAGCCCAAGGUUUCCUGCUCUACGUUCAUCGGAGCAGGGUGAGUCGGCCCCUAAGGUGAGGCUGAGAAGCGUAACUGAUGGGAACAAGGUUAAUAUUCCUUGACCACCGCUGAAUGCGAAGGGGGGACGGAGUAUUGAAGAUCAUCCGGGUGUUGGAUAUCCCGGUUUGCGAGCGUAGGAGGCUGACAGGCAAAUCCGUCAGCGAAUCUCCGAGGCAAAGCAUCGAGCUCUCUUUUGAGCGAAGUGAUUGGAUGUGCUUCCAGGAAAAGCCUCUAAGCUCCAGUUCAGCGGGACCGUACCGCAAACCGACACUGGUGGGCGAGCUGAAUAUGCUCAGGCGCUUGAGAGAACUCAGGAGAAGGAACUCGGCAAAUUGACACCGUAACUUCGGGAUAAGGUGUGCCUUUGUAGCGUGGAGGGAGAAACACCCCGAGCGCGAAGAGGUCUCAGAUAAUCGGUGGCUGCGACUGUUUAUUAAAAACACAGCACUCUGCAAAGACGAAAGUCGACGUAUAGGGUGUGAUGCCUGCCCGGUGCUGGAAGAUUAAUUGAUGGGGUGCAAGCUCCUGAUCGAAGUCCCAGUAAACGGCGGCCGUAACUAUAACGGUCCUAAGGUAGCGAAAUUCCUUGUCGGGCAAGUUCCGACCUGCACGAAUGGCAUAACGAUGGCCACACUGUCUCCUCCUGAGACUCAGUGAAGUUGAAGUGUUUGUGAUGAUGCAAUCUCCCCGCGGCUAGACGGAAAGACCCCAUGAACCUUUACUGUAGCUUUGCAUUGGACUUUGAACCGAUCUGUGUAGGAUAGGCGGGAGCCUGUGAAACCACAACGCCAGUUGUGGCGGAGGCGUCCUUGAAAUACCGCCCUGAUUUGUUUGAGGUUCUAACCUGGGACAGUCAUCCUGUCCGGGGACCGUGCAUGGUAGGCAGUUUGACUGGGGCGGUCUCCUCCUAAAGGGUAACGGAGGAGUGCGAAGGUACGCUAGGUACGGUCGGAAAUCGUGCUGAUAGUGCAAUGGCAAAAGCGUGCUUGACUGCGAGACCCACAAGUCGAGCAGAUACGAAAGUAGGUCAUAGUGAUCCGGUGGCUCUGUAUGGAAGGGCCAUCGCUCAACGGAUAAAAGGUACUCUGGGGAUAACAGGCUGAUACCGCCCAAGAGUUCAUAUCGACGGC
RNAcentral lists this ribosomal RNA (1232 nucleotides) under human gut metagenome. RNAcentral describes it as "bacterial LSU rRNA". It matches the Rfam family "Bacterial large subunit ribosomal RNA", at positions 1280 to 2512 of the family's 2925-position model. The record is from RNAcentral.